Molecule: ribosomal RNA, 366 nt
Filed under: uncultured organism
Description: bacterial SSU rRNA
Rfam family: Bacterial small subunit ribosomal RNA
Source: RNAcentral
CGUAUGGACCGAGCGUUGUCCGGAAUCAUUGGGCGUAAAGGGUACGUAGGCGGCCUAGUAAGUUAGAAGUGAAAGAAUAUAGCUCAACUAUAUAAAAGCUUUUAAAACUGUUAGGCUUGAGAGAUGAAAGGGAAAGUGGAAUUCCUAGUGUAGCGGUGAAAUGCGCAGAUAUUAGGAAGAAUACCGGUGGCGAAGGCGACUUUCUGGUCAUCAUCUGACGCUGAGGUACGAAAGCGUGGGUAGCAAACAGGAUUAGAUACCCUGGUAGUCCACGCUGUAAACGAUGAGUGUUAGGUUCUUGGAAUAAUCUGGGAGCCGAAGCUAACGCAUUAAACACUCCGCCUGGGGAGUACGCACGCAAGUGUG